Molecule: transfer RNA, 89 nt
Filed under: soil metagenome
Also listed under: 1 other name
Rfam family: tRNA
About the family: Transfer RNA (tRNA) molecules are approximately 80 nucleotides in length. Their secondary structure includes four short double-helical elements and three loops (D, anti-codon, and T loops).
Source: RNAcentral
GGAGGGGUGGCAGAGCGGUUGAAUGCGCCGGUCUUGAAAACCGGUAGGCGGGGUGACCUGCCUCGAGGGUUCGAAUCCCUCCCCCUCCG